AAACACCCCUCAAUUAUCUAUUCUGUCUAGUUAUGGAAAGGAUGAUUGGAUAUUGAGUGUUGCCAUCAUUUGGCUCACUUUAAAAACAUAAGUCAUUUUUAAACUUGAGUUGGAUUGACUAUGAUGUGAUAAAAUAUCUUCAUCUAGGAAUGGUAUCUUGUGUACCGCCAGCUUCUUGCAAAGGAAAGGCUCAUAACCAGUGAUAGUGAAGUUUCACAACUUUAGCUACACACCUUAAAU
This 240-nucleotide unclassified non-coding RNA is filed under the name uncultured Sphaerophragmiaceae. RNAcentral describes it as "sequence contains ITS2". The record is from RNAcentral. Lineage: Eukaryota; Fungi; Basidiomycota; Pucciniomycetes; Pucciniales.